This 582-nucleotide ribosomal RNA is filed under the name uncultured fungus. Its description in RNAcentral is "eukaryotic LSU rRNA". The stretch from base 211 to 364 matches the Rfam family "5.8S ribosomal RNA". Lineage: Eukaryota; Fungi. The record is from RNAcentral.
AGUCGUAACAAGGUCUCCGUAGGUGAACCUGCGGAGGGAUCAUUACACAAAUAUGAAGGCGGGCUGGAACCUCUCGGGGUUACAGCCUUGCUGAAUUAUUCACCCUUGUCUUUUGCGUACUUCUUGUUUCCUUGGUGGGUUCGCCCACCACUAGGACAAACAUAAACCUUUUGUAAUUGCAAUCAGCGUCGGUAACAAAUUAAUAAUUACAACUUUCAACAACGGAUCUCUUGGUUCUGGCAUCGAUGAAGGACGCAGCGAAAUGCGAUAAGUAGUGUGAAUUGCAGAAUUCAGUGAAUCAUCGAAUCUUUGAACGCACAUUGCGCCCUUUGGUAUUCCAAAGGGCAUGCCUGUUCGAGCGUCAUUUGUACCCUCAAGCUUUGCUUGGUGUUGGGCGUCUUGUCUCUAGCUUUGCUGGAGACUCGCCUUAAAGUAAUUGGCAGCCGGCCUACUGGUUUCGGAGCGCAGCACAAGUCGCACUCUCUAUCAGCAAAGGUCUAGCAUCCAUUAAGCCUUUUUUUUCAACUUUUGACCUCGGAUCAGGUAGGGAUACCCGCUGAACUUAAGCAUAUCAAUAAGUCG